This 46-nucleotide non-coding RNA is filed under the name Schistosoma margrebowiei. The record is from RNAcentral. Lineage: Eukaryota; Metazoa; Platyhelminthes; Trematoda; Strigeidida; Schistosomatidae.
GCAUUGCUGAGGAGUCCCAUGAUGGGACGAAACAGCCGUUCAAUGC